UCCCUCGAAAGAGGGCAGUCUCGUCUGAAAAAUCCAACAGACGAUGGGGGUUUCGCUCGUUUACCCACUUAAGGGCACAGCUCACGCCACGAGCUGACGGCGGCCGUGCAACACCUGUCUUAGCGUUCCUUGCGGCACGGUUCUGUUUCCAGAACUUUCGCUAGAUGUCAAACCCUGGUAAGGUUCUCCGUUUGUCGUCGAAUUAAACCACAUGCUCCACCGCUUGUGCGAUCCCCCGUCAAUUCCUUUAUGUUUUAGUCUUGCGACCGUACUUCACAGGCGGCACACUUAACGCGUUAGCUUCGCUACAAGAAGGGUCGAUGCUUCUGAUAGCUAGUGUGCAUCGUUUACGGCGUGGACUAC
Molecule: unclassified non-coding RNA, 363 nt
Filed under: uncultured bacterium
Lineage: Bacteria
Description: contains 16S-23S intergenic spacer region
Source: RNAcentral